Molecule: long non-coding RNA, 389 nt
Filed under: Homo sapiens (human)
Lineage: Eukaryota; Metazoa; Chordata; Mammalia; Primates; Hominidae
Description: HSALNT0024721
Source: RNAcentral
AAAAAAGUGAUAGACUCUCAUAUCAGGAUGCAGCUCUGCUCCAGCCCUGCAUCUUUCUCUGUACACAGCUAACCCAGACCUCCAUGCGGGUCUCUUAUGUAUUGUUACUUGGAUAAUUUGUAUCUUUGUAGAUGAGUGUGUUCAUGGAAAUAGCAUAAAUAUCCCGUUAAAAGCACAGAACAGAUGGUCUAGUGUGAAAACAUGAAUUUACCCAGUGUGUAUGAUGAGACCAAGGCACCAUUAGAUUGUCCAGCAAGUCACAAGCUGAUACAAAUGUGAUUUGUGAAAUAUUGAAGCUGUUGAAUCAUCUCACACUAUUGAGGAGGUUCCUACUACUUAUUGCGAUACUAGGUUUAAGGUCAGUCUCUAAGAAUAAAAGAAUUUCAAAU